UACGGAGGGUGCAAGCGUUAUCCGGAAUCAUUGGGUUUAAAGGGUCCGUAGGCGGGCUAAUAAGUCAGGGGUGAAAGUUUGCAGCUCAACUGUAAAAUUGCCUUUGAUACUGUUAGUCUUGAAUUAGUAGGAAGUGGUUAGAAUAAGUAGUGUAGCGGUGAAAUGCAUAGAUAUUACUUAGAAUACCGAUUGCGAAGGCA
This 200-nucleotide ribosomal RNA is filed under the name uncultured bacterium. RNAcentral's name for it is "partial 16S ribosomal RNA". It matches the Rfam family "Bacterial small subunit ribosomal RNA", at positions 524 to 723 of the family's 1533-position model. The record is from RNAcentral.